GGAUUGUGGCUCAGUGGCAGAGAGCUUGCCUUGCACACGUGAGGUGCUGGUUUCAAUUCUCAGCACCA
RNAcentral lists this transfer RNA (68 nucleotides) under Marmota monax (woodchuck). RNAcentral describes it as "tRNA.Ala". Lineage: Eukaryota; Metazoa; Chordata; Mammalia; Rodentia; Sciuridae. The record is from RNAcentral.